This 220-nucleotide ribosomal RNA is filed under the name uncultured bacterium. RNAcentral describes it as "partial 16S ribosomal RNA". It matches the Rfam family "Bacterial small subunit ribosomal RNA", at positions 57 to 305 of the family's 1533-position model. The record is from RNAcentral.
GCAAGUCGAGCGCUCUCUUCGGAGGGAGCGGCGGACGGGUUAGUAACGCGUGGGAAUAUACCCAGUACUAAGGAAUAGCCUCUGGAAACGGAGAGUAAUACCUUAUACGCCCUUCGGGGGAAAGAUUUAUCGGUAUUGGAUUAGCCCGCGUUAGAUUAGAUAGUUGGUGGGGUAACGGCCUACCAAGUCGACGAUCUAUAGCUGGUUUGAGAGGAUGAUC